This 507-nucleotide ribosomal RNA is filed under the name Klebsiella planticola. Its description in RNAcentral is "Raoultella planticola partial 16S rRNA". The record is from RNAcentral. Lineage: Bacteria; Pseudomonadati; Pseudomonadota; Gammaproteobacteria; Enterobacterales; Enterobacteriaceae.
CGUCAGUCUUUGUCCAGGGGGCCGCCUUCGCCACCGGUAUUCCUCCAGAUCUCUACGCAUUUCACCGCUACACCUGGAAUUCUACCCCCCUCUACAAGACUCAAGCUUGCCAGUUUCAAAUGCAGUUCCCAGGUUGAGCCCGGGGAUUUCACAUCUGACUUAACAAACCGCCUGCGUGCGCUUUACGCCCAGUAAUUCCGAUUAACGCUUGCACCCUCCGUAUUACCGCGGCUGCUGGCACGGAGUUAGCCGGUGCUUCUUCUGCGAGUAACGUCAAUCGCUAAGGUUAUUAACCUUAACGCCUUCCUCCUCGCUGAAAGUACUUUACAACCCGAAGGCCUUCUUCAUACACGCGGCAUGGCUGCAUCAGGCUUGCGCCCAUUGUGCAAUAUUCCCCACUGCUGCCUCCCGUAGGAGUCUGGACCGUGUCUCAGUUCCAGUGUGGCUGGUCAUCCUCUCAGACCAGCUAGGGAUCGUCGCCUAGGUGAGCCAUUACCCCACCUACUA